This 498-nucleotide ribosomal RNA is filed under the name uncultured bacterium. RNAcentral describes it as "partial 16S ribosomal RNA". It matches the Rfam family "Bacterial small subunit ribosomal RNA", at positions 30 to 523 of the family's 1533-position model. The record is from RNAcentral.
AUUGAACGCUGGCGGCAUGCUUUACACAUGCAAGUCGAACGGUAACAGGCCGCAAGGUGCUGACGAGUGGCGAACGGGUGAGUAAUGCAUCGGAACGUGCCCAGUCGUGGGGGAUAACGCAGCGAAAGCUGUGCUAAUACCGCAUACGAUCUAUGGAUGAAAGCGGGGGACCGUAAGGCCUCGCGCGAUUGGAGCGGCUGAUGUCAGAUUAGCUAGUUGGUGGGGUAAAGGCCCACCAAGGCGACGAUCUGUAGCUGGUCUGAGAGGACGACCAGCCACACUGGGACUGAGACACGGCCCAGACUCCUACGGGAGGCAGCAGUGGGGAAUUUUGGACAAUGGGCGCAAGCCUGAUCCAGCAAUGCCGCGUGCAGGAAGAAGGCCUUCGGGUUGUAAACUGCUUUUGUACGGAACGAAACGGUCUGGGUUAAUACCCUGGGCUAAUGACGGUACCGUAAGAAUAAGCACCGGCUAACUACGUGCCAGCCGCCGCCGUAA